Molecule: transfer RNA, 65 nt
Filed under: Gynaephora ruoergensis
Lineage: Eukaryota; Metazoa; Arthropoda; Insecta; Lepidoptera; Erebidae
Description: tRNA-Glu
Source: RNAcentral
AUUUAUAUAGUUUAAAAAAACAUUACAUUUUCAUUCUAAAAAUAAAAAUUUUUUUUUUAUAAAUA